AAUCGCCUGCUUCCUUCUCCCAUUCUCAGCCACUCACUCUCUCGCCCUCUAUCUUUCUCUUCUCUUUGUCUACUCGCUUGCAUCCCGGCGGCGGCGGCUCCGACGAGCAAGCUACGCAGUGUUGUCCCAGAGACCGAGCUGCAGCACUGCGCACGGGGCCUUGCAUCCCGGUGGCGGCGUCUCCGACGAGCAAGCUGCGCAGUGGUGAAUCCCGGCCAUGGAGGAGGAAACCGUGCGGGGAGCUUGCUGCAAGACGCGCCGCAAAAGGGAGGAGCAGGCCACGGCGAUGGUGACGCGCAGGUGGCUCGGCAGGACGGGGCGUGCGACCUCUACAAGGGCCGUUGAGUGUACAAGAGGCCCGUACGUUUUUCUUUUCUUGCUAUUUUCAGUUUUGUCCGGAUCUAUGAAGUUUCGAGCAGGGCCGUACCGGCAAAUCCGAGGGCCCAGUUCAAAACAAUGGACCGGGGCCCGGUGCAGACUCCGGUGGGCACUGACGUGGCGGGCGGUGAGGCACUGGGCAGGUCGGCACUUGGCAGGAUCAUGAAUACUAAGUGACAACAGUCGGCAAGUGCGACGUGCCAUGCGAAAGGAAGCGGCAAGCGAUACGCCUACGACGAUUCAUCUUCCAGGAGCAAUUUGGGCCACGUUUUGGCACAAAUUGAGAGAACAAUGAACUAAAUUAAAACCUCCACAUAAUUAUACUUAAUGUAUACCUAGUAUUUUAGGGGGCCCUUCAAAUUUGGGGGCCUGUGCAGUCGCACAGCCCGCACAGUCCCAAAAACGGGCCUGGUUUUGAGAGAGUAAUUUGAGUUUGAAAUUUCGGGUGUUCU
Long non-coding RNA from Panicum virgatum (switchgrass), 830 nucleotides. RefSeq lists it as uncharacterized. NCBI's taxonomy places the organism in Eukaryota, Viridiplantae, Streptophyta, Magnoliopsida, Poales, Poaceae. The record is from RefSeq and is a predicted model, not a curated record. The transcript is spliced from 2 exons.